This 147-nucleotide ribosomal RNA is filed under the name uncultured eukaryote. Its description in RNAcentral is "partial 18S ribosomal RNA". It matches the Rfam family "Eukaryotic small subunit ribosomal RNA", at positions 1299 to 1458 of the family's 1831-position model. The record is from RNAcentral.
UCGUGGAGUGAUUUGUCUGGUUAAUUCCGUUAACGGACGAGACCUUAACCUGCUAACUAGUGCCCGUCCGCACUCUCAUGGCGGCACGGGCGACUUCUUAGAGGGACUCUGCGGUUUCUAAACGCAUGGAAGUUUGAGGCAAUAACA